RNAcentral lists this long non-coding RNA (948 nucleotides) under Equus caballus (horse). RNAcentral describes it as "lncRNA (ENSECAG00000057808.1)". Lineage: Eukaryota; Metazoa; Chordata; Mammalia; Perissodactyla; Equidae. The record is from RNAcentral.
AGGACCCGGGGGCGGGGCCAGUUCCAAUCACGGGAUCCGCCCAAGGCCCCGACGCGGUUGGCGCUUCCGCAAACUCCCCCGGCGUCACCCGGUGGCUCCCUUUAAAGGGGAGGAUUGGAAGCGGGGCGGGGGGGGGGGUGCCGGGGGAGGACUCGGGAUCUAUUUUCAGUCGGUGGACACUUAGGGGGGAAGGUGCCUGGGUUGGGUCUCUGCGUAGGGGACCGGUGGGAACCGAGGGGUGACGGAGCUCGGGAGCUACGCCCGGGAAGGCGCCAAAUUACCGCGCAGAAAAAGAAAAUCACAGCAGUGGGAAGAUGUUUUAGGACCAGACCUAAAUUCAUUUCUUGCCCACCACGGAUCCACAUGCCCCUAUCAGAAAAGAAGACAGAGGAAAGAAAUGUGAACACCUGGAAACUUAGCCUGUAACUUCUGUGUGGAAGGUUGCUCACCUGAUUGUGUGAAGAGUUUUUGAACUUUGGGACAAGAUUUGCCUAGUUUUGCAGAAGAUCCAGCUUGAGUUUAAGCAGUAUUCAAACAUACUCAGCGGGCCUGGCCAAAAAUACUGUGGGACUACAUCAGGAAGCCUGUUGAAGAAAAUCUGAGGAACAUCUCAUGAGAAAAUUCUGCAAAGAGGAGUCAGGGGCCAUGGACCUACCCUUUCUGGCUCUGCUGUAAUCGAGGAAUUCCGCUGCAUGGCGCUCCUUGCUGGCAUUCACUCCUCUGGGUCUUUACCCAGGACCCUAAAGUCAUCCAUAUUGGAAGUGGCUGGAGAAAUAAGGAUCACACAAAUGCAAUCAAGAUGAGACUUCAGAUGGUUUCAAAAAAGCAGACUUGAAUCAUUAGUCUGGAUUAUAUCUACCCUAAUCAAAUGAAAAUUUAAUCAGUUGUGGAGUGCUAUGUGUAGAUUAAAUGUGUUCAUGAAGAAGGAAUUGUCUGCCAGCAGCUGGG